Molecule: long non-coding RNA, 1146 nt
Filed under: Astyanax mexicanus (Mexican tetra)
Lineage: Eukaryota; Metazoa; Chordata; Actinopteri; Characiformes; Acestrorhamphidae
Description: lncRNA (ENSAMXG00005008626.1)
Source: RNAcentral
CGUUCUUUCACUUUGUGAAAGUUUCUAUGAGGUGCGAAUGCGGCUGUUUCCUGUAGGGUGUUUUAAACUGAAUGAAUUUACAAUCUUGAUCUCCUCGAACCUCCAACAAACACAGAGAUGGCAGAGAUAGUCAUGUCUCCAGUAAUCCAGCCUUACCUCCAACCGGGGAUGACCAUAGUCCAGCCAGAUGCCAUGUCUCCAACAAUCCAGCCUGAGUAUCAGCAGGUGAUGACUGUAGUCCAGCCAGAUGCCAUGUCUCCAACAAUAAUCCAGCCUCAGUAUCAGCAAGGGAUGACCAUAGUCCAGCCAGAAGCCAUGUCUCCAACAAUAAUGCAGCAGCCUCAGCCUCAGGAGGUGAUGACCGUGGUCCCUCCUGAAGCCAUGUCUCCAACAAUAAUCCAGCAGCCUCAGCAGGUGAUGACCAUGGUCCCUCCAGAAGCCAUGUCUCCAACAAUAAUCCAGCAGCCUCAGCAGGUGAUGACCGUGGUCCCUCCAGACGCCAUGUCUCCAACAAUAAUCCAGCAGCCUCAGCAGGUGAUGACCGUGGUCCCUCCAGACGCCAUGUCUCCAACAAUUAUCCAGCCUCAGCCUCAGCAGGUGAUGACUGUGGUCCCUCCAGAUGCCAUGUCUCCAACAAUAGUCCAGCCUCAGCCUCAGCAGGUGAUGACCGUGGUCCCUCCAGACGCCAUGUCUCCAACAAUAAUCCAGCCUGAGCCUCAGCACAUGAUGACUGUGGUCUCUCCAGUCCAGGCCAUAGUCCCACAAACUCAAGCAGUGGUGACUCAACCUAAUCUGAGAGAUAUACCAGCGAAGUUCACGUGUUCUUACUGCCUCGUGGACAUCAUCACGGUGACGCGGUACAUGGCUGACCCCACGGUGAACUGCGGCCUGUUCGGGAGCAGCUGUACAUUUAACGUCUGGCCGUGGUGUCUGGUCCCGUGCAGGUCCUGUACAGAUGUGGAGCACAAAUGUCCAAACUGCCACAACGUCAUCUACGUCUUCAAGCGGCAGUCGUGACGCAAUGCAUCAUGGGAACUUCAGGAGACUUUCACUACUGUGAAAAUGUUGAAAUUAAGAUUUUGGGUGCUGUAUCAAAUCUCAGAGCACAGUAAUAAAUACUGUAGAUACUGUAAUUUCCGGGCUAAA